RNAcentral lists this ribosomal RNA (280 nucleotides) under uncultured bacterium. Its description in RNAcentral is "partial 16S ribosomal RNA". It matches the Rfam family "Bacterial small subunit ribosomal RNA", at positions 338 to 610 of the family's 1533-position model. The record is from RNAcentral.
CCUACGGGGGGCAGCAGUGGGGAAUAUUGCACAAUGGGCGCAAGCCUGAUGCAGCCAUGCCGCGUGUAUGAAGAAGGCCUUCGGGUUGUAAAGUACUUUCAGCGGGGAGGAAGGCGAUAAGGUUAAUAACCUUGUCGAUUGACGUUACCCGCAGAAGAAGCACCGGCUAACUCCGUGCCAGCAGCCGCGGUAAUACGGAGGGUGCAGGCGUUAAUCGGAAUUACUGGGCGUAAAGCGCACGCAGGCGGUCUGUCAAGUCGGAUGUGAAAUCCCCGGGCUC